Molecule: ribosomal RNA, 116 nt
Filed under: Yersinia enterocolitica
Lineage: Bacteria; Pseudomonadati; Pseudomonadota; Gammaproteobacteria; Enterobacterales; Yersiniaceae
Also listed under: 5 other names
Source: RNAcentral
CCUGGCGGCCAUAGCGCGGUGGCACCACCUGAACCCAUGCCGAACUCAGAAGUGAAACGCCGUAGCGCCGAUGGUAGUGUGGGGUCUCCCCAUGCGAGAGUAGGACACUGCCAGGC